This 424-nucleotide ribosomal RNA is filed under the name uncultured bacterium. RNAcentral's name for it is "bacterial SSU rRNA". It matches the Rfam family "Bacterial small subunit ribosomal RNA", at positions 355 to 776 of the family's 1533-position model. The record is from RNAcentral.
UAAGGAAUAUUGGACAAUGGGCGGAAGCCUGAUCCAGCCAUGCCGCGUGCAGGAGGACGGCCCUACGGGUUGUAAACUGCUUUUGUAAGGGAAUAACCCCCCGGACGCGUCCGGGGCUGAAGGUACCUUACGAAUAAGCAUCGGCUAACUCCGUGCCAGCAGCCGCGGUAAUACGGAGGAUGCAAGCGUUAUCCGGAUUUAUUGGGUUUAAAAGGUGCGUAGGCGGCCUGUUAAGUCAGGGGUGAAAGGUUGCGGCUUAACCGCAGACAUGCCUUUGAUACUGGCGGGCUUGAAUGAAGUUGAGGUAGGCGGAAUGUGGCAAGUAGCGGUGAAAUGCAUAGAGAUGCCACAGAACACCGAUUGCGAAGGCAGCUUACUAAGCUUUGAUUGACGCUGAGGCACGAAAGCGUGGGGAUCAAACAGG